UGGGGAAUAUUGGACAAUGGGGGCAACCCUGAUCCAGCAAUGCCGCGUGUGUGAAGAAGGUCUUCGGAUUGUAAAGCACUUUCGACGGGGACGAUGAUGACGGUACCCGUAGAAGAAGCCCCGGCUAACUUCGUGCCAGCAGCCGCGGUAAUACGAAGGGGGCUAGCGUUGCUCGGAAUGACUGGGCGUAAAGGGCGUGUAGGCGGUUUACACAGUCAGAUGUGAAAUCCCCGGGCUUAACCUGGGAGCUGCAUUUGAUACGUGUAGACUAGAGUGUGAGAGAGGGUUGUGGAAUUCCCAGUGUAGAGGUGAAAUUCGUAGAUAUUGGGAAGAACACCGGUGGCGAAGGCGGCAACCUGGCUCAUGACUGACGCUGAGGCGCGAAAGCGUGGGGAGCAAACAGGAUUAGAUACCCUGGUAGUCCACGCUGUAAACGAUGUGUGCUAGAUGUUGGGUAACUUUGUUAUUCAGUGUCGCA
This 478-nucleotide ribosomal RNA is filed under the name uncultured bacterium. RNAcentral's name for it is "partial 16S ribosomal RNA". It matches the Rfam family "Bacterial small subunit ribosomal RNA", at positions 355 to 850 of the family's 1533-position model. The record is from RNAcentral.